GAUGAAGAACGUAGCGAAAUGCGAUACGUAAUGUGAAUUGCAGAAUUCAGUGAAUCAUCGAAUCUUUGAACGCACAUUGCGCCCGCCAGUAUUCUGGCGGGCAUGCCUGUUCGAGCGUCAUUUCAACCAUCAAGCCCCAGGCUUGUGUUGGGGACCUGCGGCUGCCGCAGGCCCUGAAAACCAGUGGCGGGCUCGCUAGUCACACCGAGCGUAGUAGCAUACACAUCGCUCAGGGCGUGCUGCGGGUUCCGGCCGUUAAACCCCUUUUUUACCCAAGGUUGACCUCGGAUCAGGUAGGAAGACCCGCUGAACUUAAGCAUAUCAAUAAGCGGAGGA
This 336-nucleotide unclassified non-coding RNA is filed under the name soil metagenome. Its description in RNAcentral is "partial contains 5.8S ribosomal RNA, internal transcribed spacer 2, and large subunit ribosomal RNA". The stretch from base 1 to 120 matches the Rfam family "5.8S ribosomal RNA", at positions 35 to 154 of the family's 154-position model. The record is from RNAcentral.